Molecule: ribosomal RNA, 247 nt
Filed under: uncultured bacterium
Lineage: Bacteria
Description: partial 16S ribosomal RNA
Rfam family: Bacterial small subunit ribosomal RNA
Source: RNAcentral
AUACGUAGGGGGCAAGCGUUAUCCGGAUUUACUGGGUGUAAAGGGAGCGUAGGCGGCAAGGCAAGUCUGAUGCGAAAACCCGGGGCUCAACCCCGGGACUGCAUUGGAAACUGCUUAGCUAGAGUGUCGGAGAGGUAAGUGGAAUUCAUAGUGUAGCGGUGAAAUGCGUAGAUAUUAGGAGGAACACCAGUGGCGAAGGCGACUUACUGGACGAUAACUGACGCUGAGGCGCGAAAGCGUGGGGAGC